GGUAAACGUUUGUAUCCAGCUUGCAGGUAAAGGGUUACAGAUUCUAGGAAGUAUUAAAUGCAAACUUUAAAGGAUUUUAUUUUCAUCUACAGUCACAUGACACCUUAAUACCCAAUGACACUAACUACAGUAUCUCAUUAAGAGGUCAUGCAAACUCCCAAGCUAAACAAGGCAUUCUUACAUAUUUAACAUUCAAAUGCAGAAGCCAAGCUAAGCCAUGGAAGAUUGUAAUCAGAAAAGAGCUGCACUUCCUGAUCAGCAAAAAAGCUACAGGUUCUUUAAACAAGAGACAGAUUGCUAGUAUUUUGGCCUGAAAUCUGAAGGUUAUUUUGGAAUGUGAAAACUACUUGUUGCUUGGAUCCAUGACAACCAUGCAGAUACUAUUGACUUGGAUAAACAACCUACACUGACAUGUCAGCCUCCACCUCACAGUACCCUGCUUCGCUUUGUGGACACACGAAGAGACCACUUGCAAAGUGUUGUUUUGUUACUGCAGGAUCAAGACAUUUAAAACAAACUUUUCAAGCAGUCAAUGGAGUACAAACUGAUUGGCUCACUGUCUUCAGCUACUCUGAACUCUGAAAAUGGAAGUCUAAGGAAAAGUGACUUUUGAACCAGCAGAGAGCAAAAAGCAGCUUAACAGGCAGUUGUGCUGACAUAUGCAAUUCAAGUAAAAAAAUUGUUGGUUUUCCUGUCAGUGCUGCAAAGAAAAUCAAACYGUGCAGUUUCUGGUUCGUUCAGCCCCAGAAGGAAUAAAUAUUCUGAAAGCCAGAUUCUGUCUUUAUUU
RNAcentral lists this long non-coding RNA (787 nucleotides) under Dromaius novaehollandiae (emu). RNAcentral's name for it is "lncRNA (ENSDNVG00000007583.1)". The record is from RNAcentral. Lineage: Eukaryota; Metazoa; Chordata; Aves; Casuariiformes; Dromaiidae.